Molecule: ribosomal RNA, 252 nt
Filed under: uncultured bacterium
Lineage: Bacteria
Description: partial 16S ribosomal RNA
Rfam family: Bacterial small subunit ribosomal RNA
Source: RNAcentral
UACGUAGGGGGCUAGCGUUGUCCGGAAUCAUUGGGCGUAAAGAGCGUGUAGCGGCCCGGUAAGUCCGCUGUAAAAGUCAAAGGCUCAACCUUUGAAUGUCAGUGGAUACUGCCGGGCUAGAGUCCGGAAGAGGCGAGUGGAACUCCUGGUGUAGCGGUGGAAUGCGCAGAUAUCAGGAGGAACACCGAUGGCGAAGGCAGGUCUCUGGGCCACUACUGACGCUGAGAAGCGAAAGCAUGGGGAGCGAACAGG